UUCUUACAAUAAAUACCACCAAAUUUAAAAUAGAUAACAAAAAGUAAAUAAUGCAAGCAUACAUAUUAUAUGACUCAGAGUCAUGCAUAUGAUAAAUAAAAGAAUUGAAUGAUGAUAAACUCAUAAAUGAAAUGGCUACUCGAGCCGUUUAACACCUUUAUUUAAACUUUGACAUACACUAGGAGGAGAGUUCCCAUGAUAAAUCAAUGUAGUGUUAUACUUUUUCAGCAUGUUUGAGAUGAUGUACCAGACCAAUAAAAAUCUAUCGUUUGGAGGUCAAAUGAGUCUUCUAAUGAGAUCCACUAACAUAACAUACUUUUUUUUUUUUUAAAAAAAAAGAUUUAAUAGUUCUUCUAAUGGAAUCUACUGGACAAUUUGGUGCUAUUAGUUGAUGUUAAGAUGGUGCUCCCGAGUCGGUAUAAAUUUUUUUUCCUAUUCGUCGCAUCACAUUGUUGUUGAGUUGUGUCCCACAUUCGCUAGUAAAGGGGAGAUGCUUGGGUUUAUAAGGUGGUAGGUCACUCCACCUAAAAGGCUAGUCUUUUGGGUUGGAUACCUAGAAAUCUUAUGCUAAGUCCCCCCAACAAGUGGUAUCACAGCUAGACCCUAGUAGCCAGAAUGUGGUAGUGGAACAACUCAGGUGUGUCAGACGAAAGGACCGAAGUUCGGUGGUGGUUUUGUCCCAGGGGAGGAUUGUUGAGUUGUGUCUCACAUUGGCUAGUAAAGGGGAGAUGCUUGGGUUUAUAAGGUGGUAGGUCACUCCACCUAAAAGGCUAGUCUUUUGGGUUGGAUACCUAGAAAUCUUAUGCUAAGUCCCCCAACAAUUGUCUACACUUGUAAGCUGUAAGCGAGGGGACCAUGAUCAAUCUCAUUUAAUUUGAAAUUGACAUAAUGAAAAACUUGGGUAAAGCAUUUGAGAAUAGCAAAAGGGCACGGAUUGUGUAUAAUUUUAGUAACAAAGAAGAAGAAGAAAAUUAAAUCCUAGUCCAUGUGGUCCAACGAAAUCGAAAUUUGGCCCAGCCCAAAAUUUUUGGUAAUGUCCCACACACUGGCUCACAAUCACAUACACAGAUAGAAUAGAAUAAAUUUAACAUCAAUUUUCUUUGUAAACCAAGUCAUAGACGCCGCGUCCAAAUAUCCUACCAAAAUGACUUUUGAGUCUUGAAUCUUUAGACGUGGAGUGGGUGGUUGUUAUUUUUAUCAAGUGCCAUUUCACAAUGUCAUCAAUUUUAGAAAAAUUUCGAUAUAAGAAUAGAGUUAUAGAACACUUUCUUGUUUGAAUACUGAUGUUUUGUUACGAUCAUAAAUCUACUAUAAGUCUGGAUUAUAUUAUUUUUGAAAAAUAUAAUUCUCAUAAAUAAGAUAUCUAAUUCGUCUAAACUCACCUCUAAUUAUCUAUUCUUUAAAGAUUGUACCUUACGAAUUAUGUAAGAUAUUCAAGUCCUAUUAGUAAUACCACACUUCACCAAAAUUAAGAUCUAGCAUUUAUUUCAUAAUAUAUGUACAACAAAAAAUAAUUAGUAUGGUUUGUAUCACUAAUUAGUUAAUAUAAUAUUGAUCACAAACCAAAAAUAUAAAUACUACACUAAAAUAUUCUAAAAUAUUUUGUGUUAAUCUAGUAUUAACCAUUAUAAAUAUCCAACAUAUGUAAUAUAAAUGAUUAUGUUAGUCCACAAAAUAUGAAAGAAAGCGGAUCAGGAUUUUUUAAAAUAUUUCUCAUCUCAAAGGCAUCUCCCAAUUUUAAUGUGAAAGGGUUAGUCCCAAGAUUGUUUGAUAUCUAUCGAUAUCGAUUAUGACCUUUUAUAUAACAUGUUAAUAAAUUUAAGUUGUAAAAUCAAACUACAAAUGUAAUGCGAAUAAUUAAUUAUAUUUUGGUCCCACCGUUUGGCUAUAAAAACAAAACAUCAUAAUUUAUAAAUUCUUAUUACGUUUUAUUAAAAAAGAAAAAAAAAACUUGUGAAACAAAUUAGACUUCAUUAACCCCCUUGAUUAUUUUUCCAACUCACAAAAAAAAAUACACUUGUAUGUAUAUUAAAAAAAAAAAAGAAAAAAGAAAACAAAAAAAAAAAACACAGAUGUUUUUGCCGACAAGGACAAACGUAGCUAGAUUGGUCAUAAGCUAGAGCAGCUACAGAGUCAAAAAGCUCACAAGACAUU
This 2154-nucleotide long non-coding RNA is filed under the name Citrus x clementina. Its description in RNAcentral is "Citrus clementina (C. clementina) long non-coding RNA (CCLE_LNC003529)". Lineage: Eukaryota; Viridiplantae; Streptophyta; Magnoliopsida; Sapindales; Rutaceae. The record is from RNAcentral.